RNAcentral lists this ribosomal RNA (253 nucleotides) under uncultured bacterium. RNAcentral describes it as "partial 16S ribosomal RNA". It matches the Rfam family "Bacterial small subunit ribosomal RNA", at positions 524 to 776 of the family's 1533-position model. The record is from RNAcentral.
UACGAAGGGGGCUAGCGUUGCUCGGAAUUACUGGGCGUAAAGCGCGCGUAGGCGGCUUCUUAAGUCGGAGGUGAAAUCCUGGAGCUCAACUCCAGAACUGCCUUCGAUACUGGGAAGCUCGAGUCCGGGAGAGGUGAGUGGAACUGCGAGUGUAGAGGUGAAAUUCGUAGAUAUUCGCAAGAACACCAGUGGCGAAGGCGGCUCACUGGCCCGGUACUGACGCUGAGGUGCGAAAGCGUGGGGAGCAAACAGG